RNAcentral lists this ribosomal RNA (484 nucleotides) under uncultured bacterium. RNAcentral's name for it is "partial 16S ribosomal RNA". It matches the Rfam family "Bacterial small subunit ribosomal RNA", at positions 30 to 507 of the family's 1533-position model. The record is from RNAcentral.
AUUGAACGCUGGCGGCAGGCCUAACACAUGCAAGUCGAGCGGAUGAAGGGAGCUUGCUCCUGUAUUCAGCGGCGGACGGGUGAGUAAUGCCUAGGAAUCUGCCUGGUCGUGGGGGAUAACGUCCGGACACGGGCGCUAAUACCGCAUACGUCCUGAGGGAGAAAGUGGGGGAUCUUCGGACCUCACGCUAUCAGAUGAGCCUAGGUCGGAUUAGCUAGUUGGUGGGGUAAAGGCCUACCAAGGCGACGAUCCGUAACUGGUCUGAGAGGAUGAUCAGUCACACUGGAACUGAGACACGGUCCAGGCUCCUACGGGAGGCAGCAGUGGGGAAUAUUGGACAAUGGGCGAAAGCCUGAUCCAGCCAUGCCGCGUGUGUGAAGAAGGUCUUCGGAUUGUAAAGCACUUUAAGUUGGGAGGAAGGGCAGUAAGUUAAUACCUUGCUAUUUUGACGUUACCAACAGAAUAAGCACCGGCUAACUUCGUG